GACGAACGCUGGCGGCGUGCCUAAUACAUGCAAGUAGAACGCUGAAGGAGGAGCCUGCUCUUCUGGAUGAGUUGCGAACGGGUGAGUAACGCGUAGGUAACCUGCCUGGUAGCGGGGGAUAACUAUUGGAAACGAUAGCUAAUACCGCAUAAGAGUAGAUGUUGCAUGACAUUUACUUAAAAGGUGCAAUUGCAUCACUACCAGAUGGACCUGCGUUGUAUUAGCUAGUUGGUGGGGUAACGGCUUACCAAGGCGACGAUACAUAGCCGACCUGAGAGGGUGAUCGGCCACACUGGGACUGAGACACGGCCCAGACUCCUACGGGAGGCAGCAGUAGGGAAUCUUCGGCAAUGGACGGAAGUCUGACCGAGCAACGCCGCGUGAGUGAAGAAGGUUUUCGGAUCGUAAAGCUCUGUUGUAAGAGAAGAACGAGUGUGAGAGUGGAAAGUUCACACUGUGACGGUAUCUUACCAGAAAGGGACGGCUAACUACGUG
This 495-nucleotide ribosomal RNA is filed under the name uncultured bacterium. Its description in RNAcentral is "partial 16S ribosomal RNA". It matches the Rfam family "Bacterial small subunit ribosomal RNA", at positions 28 to 507 of the family's 1533-position model. The record is from RNAcentral.